GCUUUCUCUUCCCAGAUUUCCCAAAGUUGGGAAAAGCUGGGUUGAGAGGGCAA
This 53-nucleotide microRNA precursor is filed under the name Homo sapiens (human). RNAcentral describes it as "Hsa-Mir-320-P2b_pre stem-loop". It matches the Rfam family "mir-320 microRNA precursor family", at positions 11 to 64 of the family's 76-position model. The record is from RNAcentral. Lineage: Eukaryota; Metazoa; Chordata; Mammalia; Primates; Hominidae.